RNAcentral lists this transfer RNA (89 nucleotides) under Streptomyces albospinus. Its description in RNAcentral is "tRNA-Pro". The record is from RNAcentral. Lineage: Bacteria; Bacillati; Actinomycetota; Actinomycetes; Kitasatosporales; Streptomycetaceae.
GAGGCUGCUGGCCCACUGGUAGGUGUCGGGGUCGGCGUCCGGGGUCGUAGCGCGGUCGGCGACGGCGUGUUCGAGGUCGGUGAGCCACU